GGACAUUGCUUGUCUCUGUGGUGCAUUGUAGUUGCAUUGCAUGUACGAUACACUCUGCAGUGCUUCUGCAGUGCAAACACAGAGCCAAGACCAUUCACCAU
Saccoglossus kowalevskii is the source of this 101-nucleotide non-coding RNA. RefSeq annotates it as microRNA mir-33. The record is from RefSeq and is marked provisional. NCBI's taxonomy places the organism in Eukaryota, Metazoa, Hemichordata, Enteropneusta, Harrimaniidae.